Molecule: long non-coding RNA, 1136 nt
Filed under: Medicago truncatula (barrel medic)
Lineage: Eukaryota; Viridiplantae; Streptophyta; Magnoliopsida; Fabales; Fabaceae
Description: long non-coding RNA (MTRU_LNC004107)
Source: RNAcentral
UACAUGACCAUUAACUCUAUUUAAAACCCUAACUGCUGCAGUGUACAAUAUACCCACUCAAAAUUGUACAAGUGGAUAAAGCAUCCACGGCAAUCGUGCAUAUAUUUAUUUCAAUAACUAUUUUAUCACAUGGCGAAACCCAAAAAAGGAUACUGCUACGAAAGUUUUAAAUUAGAAAAACCCACAACCAAAAUCUAGGCUGCAACAUCGUAGUUUUAUGUAUCUCCAAAUGCAAUAUGACUACAACAAGACCACAUCCAACGUAUUUGAUUACAAUUUUCAACAUAAUUGCAACGCAACCAUUACAAUGUUUAAAUCCCUAACCGCUACAAUGUAGAAUAUAAAAAAAUAUAAAUUGCACUUAGAACCUAUAAAUAAAGUUGACGAAGCAUAGGCACAGAAUUCGCAGGACAACCUAGGAUCCGCAGAUUGGUAUUCAUGUACCGGUAUCGGUACUUAUGCGAAUUAGUUCACCAGAAUUCUUCAAGAAUUUGCAUGAAACAAAGUACCAGCAAACCAUUUUGAAUGAACAAAUAUAUGCCCCGGUAAAAUUUAUAGAUAUACAUCUAAACUAAUUAACUGACUUUGGUGUGUGCAUCACAGGUCCCACCAGUUCAAAGCUAUCCAAUGCAUAUUAAAGGCUGGUCGUACAACGUUUAUUCAUAAUGAGGUCCCACCAGUUCAAAGCUAUCCAAUGCAUAUUAAAGGCUGGUCGUACAACGUUUAUUCAUAAUGAGGUCCCACCAGUUCAAAGCUAUCCAAUGCAUAUUAAAGGCUGGUCGUACAACGUUUAUUCAUAAUGAGGUCCCACCAGUUCAAAGCUAUCCAAUGCAUAUUAAAGGCUGGUCGUACAACGUUUAUUCAUAAUGAAAUCUGCCUCUCAAAAAGAGCUAAAUUUUCAAUGUUGGACUACUGACUAACAUAUAUCUAUAUAUGACAAACCAUACUUGUUAUAUCUCUAUGUUAGCUAUAAUUUCCGAUGUGGGCUGCUAAUUUGUACUCACAGCCUACCAGCGUACGACAAACCUAAAUAGCUUUUCCGAAUUCUAUAAAAGUUCCAGACCGCAUACCCGAAUCCAUACCACAUACAUAAGCAAAUUACAAAUUGUAUGACUAUGUGUGAAGCAUCAAGUAUA